This 253-nucleotide ribosomal RNA is filed under the name uncultured microorganism. RNAcentral's name for it is "partial 16S ribosomal RNA". It matches the Rfam family "Bacterial small subunit ribosomal RNA", at positions 524 to 776 of the family's 1533-position model. The record is from RNAcentral.
AACGUAGGUGGCAAGCGUUGUCCGGAAUUAUUGGGCGUAAAGCGCGCGCAGGUGGUUCCUUAAGUCUGAUGUGAAAGCCCCCGGCUCAACCGGGGAGGGUCAUUGGAAACUGGGGAACUUGAGUGCAGAAGAGGAUAGUGGAAUUCCAAGUGUAGCGGUGAAAUGCGUAGAGAUUUGGAGGAACACCAGUGGCGAAGGCGACUGUCUGGUCUGUAACUGACACUGAGGCGCGAAAGCGUGGGGAGCAAACAGG